Molecule: ribosomal RNA, 413 nt
Filed under: uncultured Planctomycetota bacterium
Lineage: Bacteria; Pseudomonadati; Planctomycetota
Description: bacterial SSU rRNA
Rfam family: Bacterial small subunit ribosomal RNA
Source: RNAcentral
AAGGGUGACGAAGCGACGCCGCGUGUGGGAAGAAGGCCUUCGGGUUGUAAACCACUGUCGGGAGUUAGGAAAUGCAGGUGCGUUAAUAGCGCACUUGCUUGACUAAGGCUCCAGAGGAAGCCACGGCUAACUCUGUGCCAGCAGCCGCGGUAAUACAGAGGCGGCAAGCGUUGUUCGGAAUUAUUGGGCGUAAAGAGCACGUAGGCGGCCUUGCAAGUCAGUUGUGAAAGCCUUCCGCUUAACGGAAGAACGGCAUCUGAUACUACAGGGCUUGAGUACGGGAGGGGAGAGUGGAACUUCUGGUGGAGCGGUGAAAUGCGUAGAUAUCAGAAGGAACGCCGGCGGCGAAAGCGACUCUCUGGUCCGAAACUGACGCUGAGUGUGCGAAAGCUAGGGGAGCAAACGGGAUUAGA